UCUACGGGAGGCAGCAGUGAGGAAUAUUGGUCAAUGGCCGAGAGGCUGAACCAGCCAAGUCGCGUGAGGGAAGACGGCCCUACGGGUUGUCAACCUCUUUUGUCGGGGAGCAAAGAGAGUCACGUGUGACUCAUUGAGAGUACCCGAAGAAAAAGCAUCGGCUAACUCCGUGCCAGCAGCCGCGGUAAUACGAAGGAGGCAAGCGUUAUCCGGAAUGACUGGGGGUAAAGGGUGCGUAGGUGGAUUGACAAGUUGGUCGCGUAACUGCGGGGCUUAACCGCGGCACUACUACCAAAACUGUUGAACUAGAGUGCAGGUGGGGCAAAUGGAAUGCCUAGGGUAGCGGUGGCAUGCGUAGAUAUCAGAAAGAACACCAGUGGCGAAGGCGAUUUGCUGGACUAUAACUGACACUGAGGCACGAAAGCGUGGGGAGCAAACAGGAUUAGAUACCCCAGUAGUC
Molecule: ribosomal RNA, 460 nt
Filed under: uncultured bacterium
Lineage: Bacteria
Description: partial 16S ribosomal RNA
Rfam family: Bacterial small subunit ribosomal RNA
Source: RNAcentral